RNAcentral lists this ribosomal RNA (278 nucleotides) under uncultured prokaryote. RNAcentral describes it as "partial 16S ribosomal RNA". It matches the Rfam family "Bacterial small subunit ribosomal RNA", at positions 524 to 801 of the family's 1533-position model. The record is from RNAcentral.
UACGGAGGGUGCGAGCGUUAAUCGGAUUUACUGGGUGUAAAGGGCGUGUAGGCGGGUUUGCAAGUCGGGUGUGAAAGAUUCGGGCUUAACCCGGAGAGGUCAUCCGAAACUGCAGAACUUGAGUACUGGAGAGGAUAGUGGAAUUCCUAGUGUAGCGGUAAAAUGCGUAGAUAUUAGGAGGAACACCAGUGGCGAAGGCGACUAUCUGGACAGUAACUGACGCUGAGGCGCGAAAGCGUGGGGAGCAAACAGGAUUAGAUACCCCCGUAGUCCCUGAG